RNAcentral lists this non-coding RNA (25 nucleotides) under Mus musculus (house mouse). Lineage: Eukaryota; Metazoa; Chordata; Mammalia; Rodentia; Muridae. The record is from RNAcentral.
UAGACAGCACACACAAACGCCCAAA